RNAcentral lists this ribosomal RNA (253 nucleotides) under uncultured bacterium. RNAcentral describes it as "partial 16S ribosomal RNA". It matches the Rfam family "Bacterial small subunit ribosomal RNA", at positions 524 to 776 of the family's 1533-position model. The record is from RNAcentral.
UACGAAGGGGGCUAGCGUUACUCGGAUUGACUGGGCGUAAAGGGCGCGUAGGCGGUUUGUACAGUCAGACGUGAAAUUCCUGGGCUCAACCUGGGGGCUGCGUUUGAUACGUGCAGACUUGAGUUCGGAAGAGGGUCGUGGAAUUCCCAGUGUAGAGGUGAAAUUCGUAGAUAUUGGGAAGAACACCGGUGGCGAAGGCGGCGACCUGGUCCGAUACUGACGCUGAGGCGCGAAAGCUAGGGGAGCAAACAGG